RNAcentral lists this long non-coding RNA (343 nucleotides) under Zalophus californianus (California sea lion). RNAcentral describes it as "lncRNA (ENSZCAG00015008631.1)". Lineage: Eukaryota; Metazoa; Chordata; Mammalia; Carnivora; Otariidae. The record is from RNAcentral.
UAUGUCUUUCUCCUGUCAGGUUGUCUGUUGCCAGUUUUAAUUCACAGGCCCCCGGGCACUGCACUUGAGAGGAUAGAGGAGAAGACUUUCCUUCCCUGCAACCACCUAUAUAUUGAGAAGUCAGAUGGCGGAAGCAAGAAGAGAGAUCAGAAGAUGGGCUGAUUUUGUCCUUGUUGGAUCUGCCGGCUCUGAUCUUGGAGGGGUGUUCUGCCUGGAGUCUCGUGGGCCUGCCGGUUUCUCCCUCUGCAUCCGCUCACCGUGCCCUUCACUAGCAGAAGCCUGGUGUGGAUCCACUGGCGAUCAGCUGAGGCAGAAGCGCUCACUCUCAGACGGGCAUGCAGCU